Molecule: long non-coding RNA, 400 nt
Organism: Myxocyprinus asiaticus (Chinese sucker)
Lineage: Eukaryota; Metazoa; Chordata; Actinopteri; Cypriniformes; Catostomidae
Exons: 3
Source: RefSeq, a predicted model, not a curated record
AGGACCCUCAACUUUUGGACCCUUGAAGCCAAAUGAGGGCAUUUUCAUCUUUGGCAUCUUAAAACCACCCUCAGGACCCUCAAGGUCUGGGCCUUCAAUUUCAACCUUUGGAGCUUUAAUAUCUCCUUCAAUUUUUGGAACUGACACAUCAACAUCACCUUUCAGUUUCGGGCCUUUCAAAUUGAAGUCCACAUCUGGCAUGGAGAUCUUUGGACCAGAGAAGGAAGGCAUCUUGAAUUUGGGGCCCUUGAUUUUUCCUUCAGGUCCUUCAAUGUCAAGCUCUGGACCUUUGAUAUUCACAUCUGGUGCCUUCACAUCAACAUCAGCUUUAGGGAGUUUCACGUCAAUAUCAGGAACCUCAACUUUUGGACCCUUUAGGCCAAAAGAGGGCAUUUUCAUC